Molecule: ribosomal RNA, 195 nt
Filed under: uncultured Streptococcus sp.
Lineage: Bacteria; Bacillati; Bacillota; Bacilli; Lactobacillales; Streptococcaceae
Description: partial 16S ribosomal RNA
Rfam family: Bacterial small subunit ribosomal RNA
Source: RNAcentral
UCAUCAUGCCCUUAUGACCUGGGCUACACACGUGCUACAAUGGUUGGUACAACGAGUUGCGAGUCGGUGACGGCGAGCUAAUCUCUUAAAGCCAAUCUCAGUUCGGAUUGUAAGGCUGCAACUCGCCUACAUGAAGUCGGAAUCGCUAGUAAUCGCGGAUCAGCACGCCCGCGGUGAAUACGUUCCCGGGCCCUU